AGGGGCUGAUGUCAGUAAUGUGAAGAGGGCUGAUGCUGGCCUCGUCUUGGCUGAUACACUCAGGAGCUUCCUCUACGACCUGCAGGUAGAUGAUGGGUUGUCAGCGUUGGGAUACGGAACCAAUGACAUUCCAGCUCUGGUGAAGGGCACUCUACCCCAGGAGCGUGUGACCAAGCUGUCUCCCAGGGCUCACACUGAAGAGGACCUGGCUGAACUCUUCACAGCAUCCAUGAAGAUCUACUAACACACACACACACACACACACACACACACACAC
Engraulis encrasicolus (European anchovy) is the source of this 277-nucleotide long non-coding RNA. RefSeq lists it as uncharacterized. The record is from RefSeq and is a predicted model, not a curated record. NCBI's taxonomy places the organism in Eukaryota, Metazoa, Chordata, Actinopteri, Clupeiformes, Engraulidae. The transcript is spliced from 3 exons.